This 301-nucleotide ribosomal RNA is filed under the name uncultured bacterium. RNAcentral describes it as "partial 16S ribosomal RNA". It matches the Rfam family "Bacterial small subunit ribosomal RNA", at positions 509 to 809 of the family's 1533-position model. The record is from RNAcentral.
CAGCAGCCGCGGGAAAACGAAGGGGGCUAGCGUUGUUCGGAUUUACUGGGCGUAAAGCGCACGUAGGCGGAUCGAUCAGUCAGGGGUGAAAUCCCAGAGCUCAACUCUGGAACUGCCUUUGAUACUGUCGAUCUGGAGUAUGGAAGAGGUGAGUGGAAUUCCGAGUGUAGAGGUGAAAUUCGUAGAUAUUCGGAGGAACACCAGUGGCGAAGGCGGCUCACUGGUCCAUUACUGACGCUGAGGUGCGAAAGCGUGGGGAGCAAACAGGAUUAGAUACCCCGGUAGUCCCUGUCUCUUAUAA